RNAcentral lists this ribosomal RNA (501 nucleotides) under uncultured bacterium. RNAcentral describes it as "partial 16S ribosomal RNA". It matches the Rfam family "Bacterial small subunit ribosomal RNA", at positions 30 to 523 of the family's 1533-position model. The record is from RNAcentral.
AUUGAACGCUGGCGGCAGGCUUAACACAUGCAAGUCGAGCGGGGGAAGGUAGCUUGCUACCGGACCUAGGGGCGGACGGGUGAGUAAUGCUUAGGAAUCUGCCUAUUAGUGGGGGACAACAUCUCGAAAGGGAUGCUAAUACCGCAUACGUCCUACGGGAGAAAGCAGGGGAUCUUCGGACCUUGCGCUAAUAGAUGAGCCUAAGUCGGAUUAGCUAGUUGGUGGGGUAAAGGCCUACCAAGGCGACGACCUGUAGCGGGUCUGAGAGGAUGAUCCGCCACAAUGGGACUGAGACACGGCCCAGACUCCUACGGGAGGCAGCAGUGGGGAAUAUUGGACAAUGGGGGGAACCCUGAUCCAGCCAUGCCGCGUGUGUGAAGAAGGCCUUAUGGUUGUAAAGCACUUUAAGCGAGGAGGAGGCUACUCUAGUUAAUACCUAGGGAUAGUGGACGUUACUCGCAGAAUAAGCACCGGCUAACUCUGUGCCAGCAGCCGCAGUAA